RNAcentral lists this ribosomal RNA (497 nucleotides) under uncultured bacterium. Its description in RNAcentral is "partial 16S ribosomal RNA". It matches the Rfam family "Bacterial small subunit ribosomal RNA", at positions 28 to 507 of the family's 1533-position model. The record is from RNAcentral.
GAUGAACGCUGGCGGCGUGCCUAAUACAUGCAAGUCGAGCGAACAGACGAGGAGCUUGCUCCUCUGACGUUAGCGGCGGACGGGUGAGUAACACGUGGAUAACCUACCUAUAAGACUGGGAUAACUUCGGGAAACCGGAGCUAAUACCGGAUAAUAUAUUGAACCGCAUGGUUCAAUAGUGAAAGACGGUGUUGCUGUCACUUAUAGAUGGAUCCGCGCCGCAUUAGCUAGUUGGUAAGGUAACGGCUUACCAAGGCAACGAUGCGUAGCCGACCUGAGAGGGGGGUCGGCGACACUGGAGCGGAGACACGGUCCAGAGUACUACGGGAGGCAGCAGUAGGGAAUCUUCCGCAAUGGGCGGAAACCUGACGGAGCAACGCCGCGUGAGUGAUGAAGGUCUUCGGAUCGUAAAACUCUGUUAUUAGGGAAGAACCAAUGUGUAAGUAACUAUGCCCGUCUUGACGGUACCUAAUCAGAAAGCCACGGCUAACUACGUG